GACGAACGCUGGCGGCGUGCUUAACACAUGCAAGUCGAACGGAAAGGCCCUGCUCUUGUGGGGUGCUCGAGUGGCGAACGGGUGAGUAACACGUGAGUAACCUGCCCUUGACUUUGUGAUAACUUCAGGAAACUGGGGCUAAUACCGGAUAGGAGCUCCUGCUGCAUGGUGGGGGUUGGAAAGUUUCGGCGGUUGGGGAUGGACUCGCGGCUUAUCAGCUUGUUGGUGGGGUAGUGGCUUACCAAGGCUUUGACGGGUAGCCGGCCUGAGAGGGUGACCGGCCACAUUGGGCCUGAGAUACGGCCCAGACUCCUACGGGAGGCAGCAGUGGGGAAUAUUGCACAAUGGGCGGAAGCCUGAUGCAGCAACGCCGCGUGCGGGAUGACGGCCUUCGGGUUGUAAACCGCUUUCGCCUGUGACGAAGCGUGAGUGACGGUAAUGGGUAAAGAAGCACCGGCUAACUACGUG
This 468-nucleotide ribosomal RNA is filed under the name uncultured bacterium. RNAcentral's name for it is "partial 16S ribosomal RNA". It matches the Rfam family "Bacterial small subunit ribosomal RNA", at positions 28 to 507 of the family's 1533-position model. The record is from RNAcentral.